RNAcentral lists this ribosomal RNA (294 nucleotides) under Derogenes varicus. RNAcentral's name for it is "partial small subunit ribosomal RNA". The stretch from base 64 to 294 matches the Rfam family "Eukaryotic small subunit ribosomal RNA", at positions 634 to 866 of the family's 1831-position model. Lineage: Eukaryota; Metazoa; Platyhelminthes; Trematoda; Azygiida; Derogenidae. The record is from RNAcentral.
UCUGGAUUGCAUGGUCGCACGCUGUGGCUGAUCUGUAUCAUCUAUUCAUGGUGUUCGGAUUGCUUGGUGUCGUGGUCGUGUGAUCUUUCUGCCGUAUCUGUUUCGACAGUUUCGGUUGACUUCGGUCAACUGGCAUGCUCUCGGAUGUCUUUAACAGGGUGUCCGGAGCAAACGGCAUGUUUACUUUGAACAAAUUUGAGUGCUCAAAGCAGGCCGUAGUGCCUGAAAAGUCUUGCAUGGAAUAAUGAAAUAGGACUUCGGUUCUAUUUUGUUGGUUUUCGGAUCCGAAGUAAU